Molecule: long non-coding RNA, 257 nt
Filed under: Linum usitatissimum (flax)
Lineage: Eukaryota; Viridiplantae; Streptophyta; Magnoliopsida; Malpighiales; Linaceae
Description: long non-coding RNA (LUSI_LNC001916)
Source: RNAcentral
UAAAUUUUCAAAUUAGUUUACUUUCUAUGUAUUAAACUAUUAUUAUAUGAAUUUUUUUGUUAACUUUGAUCAUACACAAUUCCGUGAGAACCAAAUCGUUUUAUCAUGUAAGAUAAUAAAACACAUGAGCCCGGCCAAACAACCUAACUUUCAGCAAGCGAAGUAUUACCCAGGACUCCAGAUAACAAACCGUUACAAAAACAUAACGUAAAUAUACGUAUAUCAACAAAAUCAUCAUGAAGAGAACCUCCAAACAG